Molecule: transfer RNA, 93 nt
Filed under: Felis catus (domestic cat)
Lineage: Eukaryota; Metazoa; Chordata; Mammalia; Carnivora; Felidae
Also listed under: 2 other names
Rfam family: tRNA
About the family: Transfer RNA (tRNA) molecules are approximately 80 nucleotides in length. Their secondary structure includes four short double-helical elements and three loops (D, anti-codon, and T loops).
Source: Rfam by way of RNAcentral
GCCUGGUUGGCUCAGUUGGUUAAGCAUCUGACUCUUGAUUUCAGCUCAGGUCAUGAUUUCACAGUUCUGUGAGUUCGAGCCCCACAUCAGGCU